GGGGAUUUAGCUCAGCGGUAGAGCGCUUGCCUAGCAAGGCCCUGGGUUCGAUCCCCAGCUCCG
RNAcentral lists this transfer RNA (63 nucleotides) under Rattus norvegicus (Norway rat). It matches the Rfam family "tRNA". From Rfam's summary of the family: Transfer RNA (tRNA) molecules are approximately 80 nucleotides in length. The record is from Rfam by way of RNAcentral. Lineage: Eukaryota; Metazoa; Chordata; Mammalia; Rodentia; Muridae.